AGAUAAAUAAGCGAAAAAAGAUGUGGUCUGACUUUAUUGGUCGGGCUACUACACAGCUCCCACUCCCAUGCGCGAUCCCACUACUGCUCCACACGGGGACUUCUGGCUGCUGAGUUUCCCCUCUGGCCCGGUCCGCCCCUCCUUAGCCAACCUGGCCACCCCAAGCUCCCCCAGAGUGCCCAUAUUGAUGCCCAGCUUAGUGCGGACGCCCAGUCAACGUGGGACACAGUGCACCAGAACUCCCGACCUCAAAUCAUCCUCAACACCUAGCCUCCAAGUAGCUGGAUUACAGGAGUACGCCACCACUCCCAGCGACAAAACAACGAUUUAAAUCUAUAUGUUAUGAUGUUCACGCGCGAAGUUUGUGACGGUGUCUAAGAGAUGGCGCUAGCUGAUGUUUCCCGCUAUUAACGAUUCGGAAAGUCUUCAAUAUGAGCCCUGGAAGACAAAUCAUCUACCGAAGGAAGGAGCAUUUCUCUCCCAUAAAGAAGGACUCUUGGACAUCUGUGUCUGCUAAACAUGCUGACAAGUAAAGCGCGAGCUACCUUCUACACGUCUUGCUUGGGUAUUGUGACGGCUUCCGGAAAUUGUGUGAAAUGGUCAAUGAAG
Molecule: long non-coding RNA, 609 nt
Organism: Zootermopsis nevadensis
Lineage: Eukaryota; Metazoa; Arthropoda; Insecta; Blattodea; Termopsidae
Source: RefSeq, a predicted model, not a curated record